CCGUACAGCUCUAUCCCCGAUCCAUCCCAGCUCCCGUGCCUUAGCUAACUGACUCCUCUCGGCGAUACCCCCUCUCUCCCGAGCCAACUCCCUGUCCGCCUCAUCGCCGAUGGCCUCCGCGUCAUCGCCGAUGGUCUCCCUCCUCCUCCGGCCUCUCGUGGCCGACGGUCUCCCUUCUCCUCCGGCCUCUCCUGGCCGACGGUCUCCCUUCUCCUCCGGCCUCUCCGCACCUCUCCUUCCCUUCCCUCUUCCAUUCCUCUCAUUCUUCAAGAACGUGUCAAGCGCUCCGGCGGUCAGGUUGCCCACGAAGGAGCUCCAAUCAUCCUUCUGGCGGACCGAUCUCCCACCCGCCCAUUCGAUCUCAGUCGGCUAGACGGCGCCUCCGAUCUCACCUCCGCGCUCCGACAGUAUGCAUCUACCUUCCCCCUUUCUUUUUUUGGCUCCGUCUCUCCCACGAGAGCCCUUCCACCUCCUCUCCUCGGUCUUCUCCCAAACCCUUCAGCUCUAUCCCUAACCCUAACCGAGAUCGAUCAUAGUAUGAUCUCUGGCUGUAUUGUGAAUUAUUUGUGUUUCUGCGUGCUUAAGAAUUUAGGGACUUAGAUUUAGUGGUGAUUAUUUAGAUUAAAUUCCUUAAUCUAAAUAAUGGUUAUCUUGUACCUAUCUUGGAUCUGGUUGAAUGUUUGUUUCUUGCUCGGAUUCUGCUCAUGGAUCAUUUAUGUUGCUGUAUUUCUUUUGUCACCUGUUUCUGGGGUCGCAUGUUUAUCAUCUUCAUUUGUUUCAGUGGAUUUGCUUUAUAUUUUACUGUGCCGGACUUUGCCAUUUUUUCAGCUGGGUUCUAAAAAUCUGUGGCUGGUUUAUGUUUAUUUAGUUGGCGACUUCCUCUUCUGAUUCUUCUUCACAAAUCGUCUUCACGCUUUACCAAACACUUCUGGCAUGUUGUGUUGUUUCAACAUCUCUUCCUUGCAGGCACACCGUCACAAGUUGGUUUCCUGUACUUUAUCGUAUCAUCUUAUCCCCACAGCCUGCUUCAGAGUUUUGGUUUCUUCCACGAUUAUUCCUUUGUUGCAAUGUUCUGUGCUACGUUUGGGAUACUUUACUGCUGUUGGUUGCCGUCUUCAACACUUGUGCAGGAGGAUGUUUAUCAUCUUCUUUUCCAUUUACGCUAAAGUAUCAUAUUUUGAUGAUUUGAUUUCAUUAUUCACACCUCAAGUAGUUGAAUCCUAUGAGAAAUUGUCUAGUUGCAAGGCAAUUUUUAACUUGUAGUUAUAUUGUUGCUUUAUUUUAUUAGUCAAUGUUAAUGUUGAAAACCCUGCAGAAAAUGACCUGGUUAUACUGUGAGCCGAAAAAACAGGGUGACAGCAUUUUUUGCAUUGGUUAACUUGAAUGUUUUGUCAUGAUGCUGGCUCAAUGUAAUCUUCCUAAGCCUUUUUGUUGCUAAAGAAUAUCACUAGCUAUAGCAAAAGGCAUGAGUGGUCAAAACAUUUAUAUCAACUCUCUAGCUAGAUUUAUUUCCCUGGCUGUAGAAACAGAUGCAAAUAAAGGCUGUCUUUUUGACAGAGCCUUCCAUAUUCUUUAAAUCUUUUGUGGAAUAUAAUUCGCCUUUUUGCUCGAGCUUAUAGAAUGAGGCAACUCCUCUCACCUACCUUUAGGUUAAAAUAUCUAGGACUGAUGGAUGCUAGCGCUAGUGGAGCAAUAGGAUCACCCAUCACCAUUACAUAUUUGGGAAUUUGUUUAUCCUAGCAUGGAUAAUUUGGUGUUUAACAAGUAUAAAGGUGAUGUAUAGUUUCAUAGUUCAUGCAUUACAACCACACUGAUCAUUGUCUAUGCACGAAUUUACAUGAUAGCAACACACUUUUUUAGAACACAGAUGAGCAGCUUGGAUCCUGAUCCUAUGCUACUUUUGAAAGGGGAAGGUAGAGUAAGUCUCUGAACUCUAACCUCCUGGUUUCACUGUAAAAGGUUCUUUGUCUGUUGGGUCAGCAGGUUAGCCAAAUCCGGCCUUUGAUUUCCCACUCCAUUUUCUUCCCUAAGGCUCCUCCACACACCUUCCACCACAUGCUUUCUCCAUUCUCAUCUCCUGCAAAGAUUACUCCUUGUUUUGUAAAGGGCCUGUAGGCGCUAGAGUAGCGGUCCCUAAACCAUGUCCUUGGUUGAAGUAAUGCCAACUUUGAAGGCUUGGAAGCGAAAAACUCUCUGCCAUGCACACCAUCAUGAAGAAACCAAUUCAAAGUUGCACCACCGCUAUGUGCUGAUUGUUCAAAUUUCCAUGGUUUCAUGCUCAUAGUGACUGUUUCUGUGGCUGAGAAUUUGAGACCCAAAUAAGAAUUUGGGGGAUCAAAUGAGCCUUCAAGGGCCUUCUUAAGGCCAACUUCAUGCUGAGGAUUUUCAGAAGAUUUGCUUACUCAAAUGAUUAAAGUGCACUGAAUACUUUUUAAUGGGAUAGAGAUAUCCAGUAAUGGGAUACUGCGAUAUAAUUCGUGAAUCGAAGAUUUUGGAAAGAAGUUCUAGAAUUUUGUGGAUUUGUCGGAAAGCGUAUGAGAUGGUGUGGUCCGCCCCUUGUCGCUGGUAUUCUGAUUUGGUGUCCCAUCGUGACACUAUGGAAUUCUUGGUUCUAGAGUGCUUCAAAUGGUGUUUUGAUUUUGUUACUGUUUCUUGUAAACUGUUGAUUGUCAUUUGGUUCAGUUUCAUUGCAAUCUGUACAGGAGCGAAAACAUCAUUGCUAUUGAUUCUUUUAUCUUCUCAUAUCCACAGUAACUCUGUUCAAUAAAAAAUUUACUGUGUAUUUACUGUGGAUAGCUGCCCAUGUAAACCUUUUAAGUUAAAUGUCCAUUGGCUUGACAAGUAAACGGCUGUGUUUCCAACAUCAACCCUUUAACGCAUAUAACUGCUUGUAAUGAAAAUUUGGAUCUAUAUUGGACAUGGAACUGGGAUACACGGUCUUAGUUUGAAGGCUGAUAUUAUCUUAAUACGAGGUUGUCAUAGAGCCUUUUUCAGAACAUGCAGCUUGGCGGGAAGACGCAACAUGAUUAUCAUCAUCAGGCAACGUGGUUGGCCAGAUAGUUUGCCUCCCGGUUCGCUUGUCCAAGGUUGUGCUUGGAGCUGCAUCAUGUGGCAUCGGUACUUUAGAAAGUGCAUCACUUUCCCAGAGGGGUCCCUCGCUCAUCACAAAAGAAUCACCUCACCUCCAAAGAUCAAAGGGUCCCGGACCACCUUGGGCUGUGCAGACUGAAAUUUUGAAAAAGGUGGGUCAGGAAACGCAACUCAGUCCCGUGAAGAUCGAGAUGUAUGCAUGUUGUUGUCGAGUGAUGUGGUUGCACAAGGUUUAAAAAUUUUUAAAAAGUGUCUGCAUAGAAGUCUUGGAUAAUUGUGCGAACUGCAAUCGGAAUCCUCACAGAAUGAGGCCCAUCAUACCAAGUCAAGCUUCCGAAGCCGUAGAACCCUUGCGCCUUGUGAGUUGGCAUGAAAGUUACAUUAAAUGUCUGAACCUUGCUUCUAGCAUUGAAAACAAGAACAGAAGGUUGCACCACCAUCUUAAUGCCGGGCGGGAUUUCAAGUGCUGCCUUGUAAACUACUGCGUCAACCUUGCCCACAUGUGUCACAGUUCUCUGAACCAUCACAGUUUCCUGAAGAUUAGGGAUGGCAAUGGAGGGAAGGUUCAAAUGAUAUAAAGGUCUCUGUUUGGGGUCGCAGCCACCUUGUAGGCCAAAAGUACAUUUAAAGAACUUGAGGUACUCUUUAGGAUUGAUGUCGUACACAAGGCCAGGAUCCAAGGCUUUGUUUGGGUUGAUUUGACCCCCACCAUAGUCGAAAGGAUCAGCAAGCUUACGUGGAACCCCCUCUGCCAUUAUUGGCUGUCCAUAUCCAUCGCUCACGGAUGCUGCAUGUAACAUAUAUAAUAUCACCCAUGCACACGUAAGUGCAAUGCUAUGUUAAAAGAUGAGCUAGAGAAGUAAUUUAAUUGAAGUCCAGGUACCUGUAGUAAUAA
Molecule: non-coding RNA, 3985 nt
Organism: Elaeis guineensis (African oil palm)
Lineage: Eukaryota; Viridiplantae; Streptophyta; Magnoliopsida; Arecales; Arecaceae
Source: RefSeq, a predicted model, not a curated record